AUCUGGUAGGUUUGUGCCUAUUAAAUGUGUCAGUUUCAGUGUCUAUAUCAGUGGCUGGAGACAUCUGGUAGGUUUGUGCCUAUUAAAUGUGUCAGUUUCAGUGUCUAUAUCAGUGGCUGGAGACAUCUGGUAGGUUUGUGCCUAUUAAAUGUGUCAGUUUCAGUGUCUAUAUCAGUGGCUGGAGACAUCUGGUAGGUUUGUGCCUAUUAAAUGUGUCAGUUUCAGUGUCUAUAUCAGUGGCUGGAGACAUCUGGUAGGUUUGUGCCUAUUAAAUGUGUCAGUUUCAGUGUCUAUAUCAGUGGCUGGAGACAUCUGGUAGGUUUGUGCCUAUUAAAUGUGUCAGUUUCAGUGUCUAUAUCAGUGGCUGGAGACAUCUGGUAGGUUUGUGCCUAUUAAAUGUGUCAGUUUCAGUGUCUAUAUCAGUGGCUGGAGACAUCUGGUAGGUUUGUGCCUAUUAAAUGUGUCAGUUUCAGUGUCUAUAUCAGUGGCUGGAGACAUCUGGUAGGUUUGUGCCUAUUAAAUGUGUCAGUUUCAGUGUCUAUAUCAGUGGCUGGAGACAUCUGGUAGGUUUGUGCCUAUUAAAUGUGUCAGUUUCAGUGUCUAUAUCAGUGGCUGGAGACAUCUGGUAGGUUUGUGCCUAUUAAAUGUGUCAGUUUCAGUGUCUAUAUCAGUGGCUGGAGACAUCUGGUAGGUUUGUGCCUAUUAAAUGUGUCAGUUUCAGUGUCUAUAUCAGUGGCUGGAGACAUCUGGUAGGUUUGUGCCUAUUAAAUGUGUCAGUUUCAGUGUCUAUAUCAGUGGCUGGAGACAUCUGGUAGGUUUGUGCCUAUUAAAUGUGUCAGUUUCAGUGUCUAUAUCAGUGGCUGGAGACAUCUGGUAGGUUUGUGCCUAUUAAAUGUGUCAGUUUCAGUGUCUAUAUCAGUGGCUGGAGACAUCUGGUAGGUUUGUGCCUAUUAAAUGUGUCAGUUUCAGUGUCUAUAUCAGUGGCUGGAGACAUCUGGUAGGUUUGUGCCUAUUAAAUGUGUCAGUUUCAGUGUCUAUAUCAGUGGCUGGAGACAUCUGGUAGGUUUGUGCCUAUUAAAUGUGUCAGUUUCAGUGUCUAUAUCAGUGGCUGGAGACAUCUGGUAGGUUUGUGCCUAUUAAAUGUGUCAGUUUCAGUGUCUAUAUCAGUGGCUGGAGACAUCUGGUAGGUUUGUGCCUAUUAAAUGUGUCAGUUUCAGUGUCUAUAUCAGUGGCUGGAGACAUCUGGUAGGUUUGUGCCUAUUAAAUGUGUCAGUUUCAGUGUCUAUAUCAGUGGCUGGAGACAUCUGGUAGGUUUGUGCCUAUUAAAUGUGUCAGUUUCAGUGUCUAUAUCAGUGGCUGGAGACAUCUGGUAGGUUUGUGCCUAUUAAAUGUGUCAGUUUCAGUGUCUAUAUCAGUGGCUGGAGACAUCUGGUAGGUUUGUGCCUAUUAAAUGUGUCAGUUUCAGUGUCCAUAUCAGUGGCUGGAGACAUCUGGUAGGUUUGUGCCUAUUAAAUGUGUCAGUUUCAGUGUCUAUAUCAGUGGCUGGAGACAUCUGGUAGGUUUGUGCCUAUUAAAUGUGUCAGUUUCAGUGUCUAUAUCAGUGGCUGGAGACAUCUGGUAGGUUUGUGCCUAUUAAAUGUGUCAGUUUCAGUGUCUAUAUCAGUGGCUGGAGACAUCUGGUAGGUUUGUGCCUAUUAAAUGUGUCAGUUUCAGUGUCUAUAUCAGUGGCUGGAGACAUCUGGUAGGUUUGUGCCUAUUAAAUGUGUCAGUUUCAGUGUCUAUAUCAGUGGCUGGAGACAUCUGGUAGGUUUGUGCCUAUUAAAUGUGUCAGUUUCAGUAGGAGGCUGAUUCUCAGCAACAGCCCUUCCAACUGGUUGAUCAUUUACUUUUCACAAUCUUGAGAGACGCACUCUGACAACAGUGCAGCCGGGCCUCACAAAUAUCACCACACCUUCUUGGCCAAUGACUACUCCCGGGUCCUCUCCACUCGACAGUCAACUCGUUUGUAGUACACUUUGUAUCCAGUCUCGUACUUCUCAUCUGAGGGACGAAGCUGUGAAUUCUCUCUGAACACUCUCUGCUUCAGUGAACACUUCUCUGGCUGCAUGUAGUGCUGACAGGUGGAGUCCCACCCUUGCGCUCACACUGGUCCCUUCUAGUUUGUUUAUGUGUGUCUCUUACUCCCAUAAAGGACGGGCUUCCA
Oncorhynchus keta (chum salmon) is the source of this 2203-nucleotide long non-coding RNA. RefSeq lists it as uncharacterized. NCBI's taxonomy places the organism in Eukaryota, Metazoa, Chordata, Actinopteri, Salmoniformes, Salmonidae. The record is from RefSeq and is a predicted model, not a curated record. The transcript is spliced from 5 exons.